GACGGUCCCGCACAAGCAGCGGAGCGUGUGGUUUAAUUCGUUGCUACACGAAGAACCUUACCUGGGUUUGACAUAGCAGUGGUAGGGAAGAGAAAUCGGACCGACCUUCGGGGAGCUGUUACAGGUGUUGCAUGGCUGUCGUCAGCUCGUGUCGUGAGAUGUUCGGUUAAGUCCGCUAACGAGCGCAACCCGCGUUGUGUGUUAUAUGUGUCACACAAUACCGCCGGUAUUAAGCCGGAGGAAGGUGCGGAUGACGUCAAGUCAGCAUGACCUUUAUAUCCAGGGCUACACACACGCUACAAUGGACAGUACAACAGGUUGCCAAGCCGCGAGGCGGAGCCAAUCCUCUAAAGCUGUCCUCAGUUCAGAUUGCAGGCUGCAACUCGCCUGCAUGAAGUUGGAGUCGCUAGUAACCGCAGGUCAGCUAUACUGCGGUGAAUACGUUCCCGGGUCUU
RNAcentral lists this ribosomal RNA (455 nucleotides) under uncultured Anaerolineaceae bacterium. Its description in RNAcentral is "bacterial SSU rRNA". It matches the Rfam family "Bacterial small subunit ribosomal RNA", at positions 917 to 1381 of the family's 1533-position model. Lineage: Bacteria; Bacillati; Chloroflexota; Anaerolineae; Anaerolineales; Anaerolineaceae. The record is from RNAcentral.